CCCCCCUCCCCCAAUCCCUAAAGCUACACCCAAAUCCCAACCCAUUCACCCCAUCCCCAACCCCGCCCCUAUCAUCAAGCCCCAUCCCCCAACCCCAACCCAAUGGCUGCCUUUGGCCGGACUGCUGGAACAGCGGGGGCCGUUUCGUGUUGCGGGUCCACCGGGCGGGCUGGAGUGGCCGCACGUUCUACCAUCCACGCUGUUCGGGAAGAGUCUGGUCGAAGCCGCCACCAUGUAAAUUCUGUGUAUAAUGGCGAGAGUUGUGCGUGGUAGUUCCGUAUGUGUUUUACAAAGACUGUCUUCUGCCCCUGAGCCGGUCGGGCGUGAAGCUGGCUCUCCAGCGCGCCACCGCACCCUCCUCUGGGGACACGUGAAGGAAAGCUGGAGGACAAAGUGAGGAAACUGCUGAAGUUCCCAGCCAACACCCUCCAACAUCGUGUUCAAGAAGGAACUGCAGAUGCUGGAAAAUCGAAGUUACUCCAGCAUCUUCGGUUUAUACCAGCAUCUGCAGUUCUUUGCUUAGGCAUUUCAUGCUGGUUUACUGAUGUUCUGGAUGGAUGCAGGAUGCCUUGUGUUGCACUUGAUGGCCAUGUAGCUACAAGGAGUAAAAUAGUCUCCACACUUGAUGCGUCUACCAGCAAAACCCCCAGCGUAUAUACCCAGUGUAUAGAGCGCAGUGUAUAUACCUAUACAGUAAGCACCAGAAUGAUCAAUGGAUUUUCCUUCAUGCCAUGCAUGUUUAUACUACACUUUCAUUUAAUUAUAGCGUUGGCGCUGUUGGUAAUUCUUCAAGUCAAUGCCCGAUCCUAGAAGGGUCCCGUGCUUCCAUGCAUACUCCUCUCUCUCUAAUGCCUGUCCAUUCCCCCUUUGGAAACUCUGUUUUCAUGCUCCUACUGACAGUGAGUUCCAGAUCGAAACCAAAAGUGCAAAAAAAAAAAAAUUCCCUUUCCCCAUUUACCAUUUUCCACGGGCGGCACGGUGGCGCAGCGGUAGAGUUGCCGCUUCACGGCGCCAGAGACCCGGGGUUCGAUCCUGUCUGUGUGGAGUUUGCACCUUCUCCCUGUGACCACGGUGUGUUUUAUCCAGGUGCCCCUGGUUUCCUCCCACACUCCAUAAAGCCGUGCAGGUCUAUAGGUUCUUCUGUAAAUUGGCCCUAUUGUGUGCGGGAUAGUGCUAGUGUACGGGGUGAUUGCUGGUUGACGCGGACUCCGUGGGCCGAAGGGCCUGUUUCCACACUGCAUCUCUAACGCAAGUCGGGAUGCCCCUAGUGCGUAGGUUGUGAAACUGGGAUAGUAUAGAACUGGUGCACGGGUAAUUGUUGGUUGGCUCGGACUCGGUGGGCCGAAGGGCCUGUUUCAGCGCUGAAUCUCUAAACUAAACUCAACUGUAGACAAAAGCGCUGGAGAUACUCAGCGGGUGAGGCAGCAUCUAUGGAGCGAAGGAAAGUGGCAACGUUUCGGGCCGAAACCCUUCUUCAGACUGAUGUGAGGGAACUGAACUAAUCUUCCUUACCAUUUACCCAAAGUUUUAUGUACCUUAAUCCUUGGCCCAUCUACGAACGAGAAUAGGUUCCAAAUCCUCAGCUAGUUUCUUGCCCCUUCCACCAAAUCUCCUCCGAAUCCCAGCUUCUGUGGUUAAACCAUGCAGCUAAAAACCCUCAUCCCUUUUAUACACACACACAUAUAUAUAUUCCACACCUUUGGUCAUGGCUUUGCGUAGGUAUCCAUCCUUUAAGAGGAACUUAAGGGCCUGUCCCACUUACGCAACUUUUUUGGCGACUGCCAGCACCCGUCAUAGGUCGUUGCAGGUCGGCGGAAAUGUUCAACAUGUUGAAAAUCCAGCGGCGACCAGAAAGACGCCACGACUCUUUGGGCGACUGAGGAGACGACUCACGACCGUACAGGCGACAUGCCUCGGGGUGAAGCCUGUAUGGUCGUGAGUAGUCGCCCAAAGAGUCGUACCUUGUUCUGGUCGCCGCUGGAUUUUCACUAUGUUGAACAUUUUCAGCGACCUGUAACAGCCCACGUGUCGGCUGCCGCAGAAAAAGUUGCGUAAGUGGGACAGGCCCGUUAGGAGGAGAUGCGAACUAUGAAAAUGUUUUCAGCCCAACUUCAAGCCCUGAAAUCCUGCUCAAUUGCCUGGAGCUCUGGAAUAAAUCUGAGUUAUAGGCGCGCGUAUCCUGGGUUUUAUUAUGUAAAAUGUUUUGUUGUGAGUUUUCAUGUUGAAGUGCUUUGUGGCUGGUUACAGUCCUGACUUGUCUGACCGUCUCAACCCUUGUUUUGUGUCUCAUGGUACUUUAAAAAUGGCCUGUCCCACUUAUGCGAUUUUCUUUCAGCGGCUUGCCGGCACCCGUCAUAGUCACGGCAGGUCGCCGGAAAUGUUCGAAAAUGUUGAAAAUCCAGCGGUGACCAGACAAAGGUACGAAUCUGGGCCGCUACGUACCUUAAUCCUUGGCCCAUUUACGAACGAGAAUAGGUUCCAAAUCUUCAGCUAGUUUCUUGCCCUUCCACCAAAUCUCCUCCGAAUCCCAGCUUCUGUGGUUGAAGCAUGCAGCUAAAAACCCUCAUCCUCCUUGUGACGCCUGUGUGGUUGUGAGUUGUGGCCCAACUGGUCGUUACCUUAAUCUGGUCGCCGCUGGAUUUUCAACAUUUUCGAAAAUGGUCGGCGCCCUGCCGCGACUAUGGCGGAUGCCGCCGGCAAGCAUCGUGUAAGUGGGACAGGCCCUUACGGCAGCAUCUAGCCUGCUCUGGCUUGUAUGAAGGAUAUAAUGUUGAUUGGUGAGAAGAGUGCAGUGAAGCAAAUGGCUAAGCGUUGCAGUUACGGCUUGCGUGCAAAUCUAGGCUUGAAUAAACAACGUACGAGAUCUUGGCUUUCACCCUCCGAGACCUGUUGGGCAGUUCGGUGGGAUCAAGCCCAAAGUUCUUUGUGGUUGCCCUUUUUGCUUUCGACUUGAUUUUGUUUUAAACUUCAUCUUGAUCUAUUGUGGAGUUAAAUAGAAUUUGAACGCUGCAGUGGGCUGGACUUCGAGUACAUCACUGAAACUAACGGCGGCACGGUAGUUCCUGCCUUGCAGCGCUUAUAGCGCCGGAGACCCGGGUUCGACCCCAACUACAGGUGCUGUUGGGACAGAGUUUGUACGUUCUCCCCGUGACCUGUGUGGGUUUUCUCCGGGCGUUCCGGUUUCCCCCCACACUACAAAGACGUGCGGGUUUGUAGGUAUCAUUGGCUUUGCUAAAAAACUGUAAAUAUGUUCCCUAGUGUGUGUGUGUGUGUGUAGGAUACUGCUAGUGUACGGGGCGAUUGCUGGUCGGCGCGGACUCAGUGGGCCCUGUUUCCACGCUGUACCACUAAGGUCUAAAGGAAUGGGUGUUAAUGUCCGGCAGGCAAGAGUAAGCUAAAAUGCAGAGGGAAAACCAAUUUUAUAAAAGAGAACAAGGUUUCCUUAAACUGACACUAAAGAUGCUUCAAACUGAAUGCGUGAGUUGUCUACACAAAUCGUACGCACUGAUAUUUGUACCAUCAUCUGUUGUACUUUGUACUAAUUUGUGUUUUAUUUAGUUAUAGAGAGGUACUGUAAUCAUUGCUUAUUCCUAUUGACAAUUGAAUGUGAAAUUGGAAUAAAGGUUUGAGAUUAUUUAGA
Long non-coding RNA from Leucoraja erinaceus (little skate), 3640 nucleotides. RefSeq lists it as uncharacterized. The transcript is spliced from 2 exons. The record is from RefSeq and is a predicted model, not a curated record. NCBI's taxonomy places the organism in Eukaryota, Metazoa, Chordata, Chondrichthyes, Rajiformes, Rajidae.